RNAcentral lists this ribosomal RNA (401 nucleotides) under uncultured bacterium. RNAcentral describes it as "bacterial SSU rRNA". It matches the Rfam family "Bacterial small subunit ribosomal RNA", at positions 29 to 447 of the family's 1533-position model. The record is from RNAcentral.
AAUGAACGCUGGCGGCAGGCCUAACACAUGCAAGUCGAACGAGGUCUUCGGACCGUAGUGGCGGACGGGUGAGUAACGCGUGGGAACGUACCCUUUGGUUCGGAAUAGCCCCUGGAAACCGGGGAGUAAUACGUGGAUGAGCUCGCAAGAGGAAAGAUUUAUCGGCCAAAAGGAUCGGCCCGCGUUGGAUUAAGGUAGUUUGGUGGGGGUAAUGGCCUACCAAGCCGACGAUCCAUAGCUGGUUUGAGAGGAUGAUCAGCCACACUGGGACUGAGACACGGCCCAGACUCCUACGGGAGGCAGCAGUGGGGAAUCGUUAGACAAUGGGGGAAACCCUGAUCUAGCCAUGCCGCGUGAUCGAUGAAGGCCUUAAGGGUUGUAAAGAUCUUUCAGUUGGGAAG